RNAcentral lists this non-coding RNA (171 nucleotides) under unclassified sequences. RNAcentral describes it as "malK-I RNA". It matches the Rfam family "malK-I RNA". The record is from RNAcentral.
UUUCCAUGGCGCCGGCCACUCCACUUUUCUGGUCGGCAGCACAUGAAAAAAGGAGGAUAAACCGCUUGCUCGCGGUGCGGCAGUGUGGAGACCUGUCGUAAAGCACGAGGCCUUGCCCGUGUGAGGACGCAUCCGGCGGAGGCCGUGCGUCCGGAGCAAAACAAAAUGGCG